UAUUGCUAUUCUGGGAGGGCAGGCCUGCUCCUUUACUGUCAUCUCCUCUGCCAUCUUCUUUCUUUCCAGGACCUUCUCCCCGACCUGAUUGGAAAUAGUGGGGGGAUUGAGAGCGGUAGAUCUUUGAACGAAUGAAAUCCCGGCGGCCAGAGCGCCUUUCCUCUGGGCUCUCAUGACCCCAUGAGCCCUUUCUGGAGCCUGAUCUCUGAGAAGGGCUCCUGGUGCUGCGGCUCCGGUCCCGGCUAUAGCUUCGGCUUCGCUGCCAGCUGUGGGCUGUGGUGCUGCGACUUCUCCUCUUGCUUCGACUGCGACUACAGCUGCUACUGCGGCUUCGACCCCGGGAUCUUGAUCGCUCCCUUGUAUGACUCCGAGAUCGGCUUCGGGACUGGCUGCAACUGAGGCUAUAGUCAUCAUCAGAUGAUGAGUAUUUGUGUCGUUUAGACCUGUGUUUGGAGCUGGUAUAGUCUGAAUCAUCUGAAUCGUGAGAGCGCUUAGAGUGCCUUCGUGAUCGGUCGCUAUAGUCACUAUAGCUAUCAUCAGAGUAACUGUGCUGUCUACUAUAGCAGCUCUGGUCUGAAGAGGCAUCAGAGCUGCUAGAAUAAGAGCGCCGGGAGGAACGAUGUGAGGAAUGGCGAUGGCCAGACCGAGAGCGGCUACGAGAAUGCUCACUACCGGAGUCUUCAUCUUCCUCCUCUUCUUCCUCCUCCUCCUCUUCCUCCUCCUCACUGUACUGGGAUGGAGACUUCUGGUGCAGUCGGUGUGAGGAAGCAUCAUCACUAUCCUCAUCACCACUACUGGGUUGGCUCCGAUGGCUGGACCGGCUGCUAUGUUUGGUGUUAGCUCUCCGCUGGCAGGAGGAAGUUGGUGGUUCACCUUUGUGUUUCCUCCCACUGUGAUCUUGGCAACUGCUACCACCCCCACCAUCAUCCUUCUUGCCACUGUUUCCUUCUUCAGCAGGAAGGGAUCUCCGCUGGGAAUCAUCUUGAGCUCGGCGCCGCCUUCUCGGUGGUGCCGGGCUGCCGCUUCCAGGAGGUUCUGAUUUGGGUCCGCGUUCAGAAUCAGCUGCGGCUGAUGAUUUGUUCUUCUUCCGUUUUCGUUUCUUGCGCUUCUUAGAUUUCUCCCCAGACUCUGCCUUAGAACUCUUCUCUUCCGUGUCAGCCUUGUGUUUACGUUUGUGCUUGCUGGAUUUUUUGUGUUUCUUUUUCUUCUUGUGUCUGUGAGACUUGCCUGAUGGUUCUUUCUUGCUAGGAUGGCUUCUCCCAGUGUCUUCAGUUUCUGACAUAUGGCUACCCCCAGGCUCCUGCUUGUUCAGGCUGCUACAGGCAGCCCCUGAUGCAGGUUCAUCCACUCUGCCUUCUGAAGAGAGCACUACAUCCUGCUCCUCUUCCUGGCUUUUAUUCGGUUCUCUAGGAUCAAGGCUCUGGAGAUGAUCCUUUGAGGAGCCUGCGACAUCUUUUGGCUUUUCUGUCCCUUUAGCUUUAGCAUCUUUGUUUCUUGAAAGUUUAAAGUCAAAGUAUAAAGGAUUACAACUGUAGGAGAUGGAAGGCUCUGCUUUGGUGAAAAUGAGUAGUUCUGAUGGCCACUGGAGGGCAGUGCUUUCAUCCUUGCUUAAAACUGGAAAGAAUGGACCAGUAGGAUGCUUGGGUCCCUGGCCUGCUUUUGUUGCUGGGGUGGCCUGAGAAAUGUCUUUAGGAUUGGACUCACACAUCGGGCUCUCUGACGUCUCCCUACUCUCUACACUCUGCUCAUCUUCCCCUCCUCCGGAGCCUUUCUUUGUUUCAGUUUUACCUCCAGGCUCUGAAGGCCCAGCCACAGCGGCUUCCUUUUGCAGCUCAGAAGCUUCACUCACUGUUCUUUCUGCCCCUGGGCUUGCUGCUGUCUUACUACAGCCUUGCGGCUUGGGAGAGCUGCUUUUUCUGUUCUCGGGGGCACUCUUUGAGUGUGCACUAUGAUCCCCUUCCAUCUGUUCACUGGCUCUCAUAAAGAGUAAGAAGGGGAAAUUAGGUUUGACCUUGCAGUGUGCUGGGGGGAUGUAGUGGUAAUAUUCUGGCUCUGUAGCCCCUGUUCCUUCUUCCCGUUUCAUCCUUUUCAACUUGGACAGUGUUGAGGCAAGGGACCCUCCAUCCUGAGGGUCUUCAUCUUCUUUCUUUCCAUCAAGAUUACCAGUGCCAUCAGUAUCUCCCACCUUCUGCACCCCUUGGUCAGAGCUCUUCUCAUCAGCCUUCGUUCCAUCUUCUGAGCUCCCUUCCUCUGCAUGGUCCUUGAAAACGGAUGCUAUUGAUUCAAGUUUGACGGGAGCUUUCUUGGCAAAGGAAAAUGAUACUCCCAAUUUCUGCAGUGGGGGUCCCAGAUUAUUCUUAAUGCCAAAGCUAAUACCUUGGGAGGCUAAGCCAGGAGCCUGUGACAGUCCAGUGGUAUUAGUGAUCUGUACUGACGUGAAGGAGCCCCCUUUAUCUGUGGAGAAGUCGGCUCCAAAGCCACAAGAAGAAACAGCACUUGCACCACUGUUGGUUGAUGACUCAUCUUUAUCCUCUUCUCCACCAUCCUCGUCUACAGCCACCGUGGUUGGUCGGAACAUGGGCCCGCUUCCCGGUGCACUAUACAGUGGUUGAGAAAGUGAGAAAACAAAAGAGAGGAUUCGAGUUAUAGAUCUUAUAUAAAACAUUCGUCUUUUUUGUCCUUCCACUCAUCAUAGGUUGGUCUCAAAGAUCCAGAGUGGCUGUCCCUAGCAAUGUGCUGAUGAAUGGGACUUAUUGAACGGAGGUAGGCAAAGUUUCAUUUGGUUCAAGUACCAGGUUAAAUUCCCAAGGCCAGCAAGCUAUUGCUAUCCUUUAAGCUGUUUGCCCUACAAAAAGGCUCAACUUCUUUACCAAUAGCAUCUCACAGUUUCGUCUUUAAUCUGUUACCAAGCCUUUU
RNAcentral lists this long non-coding RNA (2916 nucleotides) under Mus musculus (house mouse). RNAcentral describes it as "long non-coding RNA chr11:102479490-102482406". The record is from RNAcentral. Lineage: Eukaryota; Metazoa; Chordata; Mammalia; Rodentia; Muridae.